Molecule: ribosomal RNA, 406 nt
Filed under: uncultured bacterium
Lineage: Bacteria
Description: partial 16S ribosomal RNA
Rfam family: Bacterial small subunit ribosomal RNA
Source: RNAcentral
AUUGAACGCUGGCGGCAGGCCUAACACAUGCAAGUCGAACGAGUGGCGGACGGGUGAGUAAUGUCUGGGAAACUGCCUGAUGGAGGGGGAUAACUACUGGAAACGGUAGCUAAUACCGCAUACCAUCGGAUGUGCCCAGAUGGGAUGAGCUAGUAGGUGGGGUAACGGCUCACCUAAGCGACGAUCCCUAGCUGGUCUGAGAGGAUGACAAGCCACACGGGAACUGAGAAACGGUCCAGACUCCUACGGGAGGCAGCAGUGGGGAAGAUUGCACAAUGGGCGCAAGCCUGAUGCAGCCAUGCCGCGUGUAUGAAGAAGGCCUUCGGGUUGUAAAGUACUUUCAGCGGGGAGGCGUUACCCGCAGAAGAAGCACCGGCUAACGCCGUGCCAGCAGCCGCGGUGAUAC